UGGAAUGUAACUCAAUGGCAGAGUACCUGGCUUAUAUCCAGUUAGUUGUCGGUUCAAGUCCGACCAUUCCGA
This 72-nucleotide transfer RNA is filed under the name Siphoviridae sp. cthL03. Its description in RNAcentral is "tRNA-Ile". It matches the Rfam family "tRNA". From Rfam's summary of the family: Transfer RNA (tRNA) molecules are approximately 80 nucleotides in length. The record is from RNAcentral. Lineage: Duplodnaviria; Heunggongvirae; Uroviricota; Caudoviricetes.